Molecule: long non-coding RNA, 409 nt
Organism: Etheostoma spectabile (orangethroat darter)
Lineage: Eukaryota; Metazoa; Chordata; Actinopteri; Perciformes; Percidae
Exons: 3
Source: RefSeq, a predicted model, not a curated record
AAGUUUUUGGACAACAAUGGAGCCAUGGCACAGAGAGAUAAGAUAUAUCAGGCUUUGGCACAGACAAAACAUAUUGGAAGGAUUUGGUCAUUGAUGCUUUUGGUAUUUCCAUGGUAUUUUUUUGACAAGGAACUUCUAAAAUAUUACCAGCCUUGUUUUAAUCAUUUAAAGUCCAUAUGGGAACUAUUCUGACUUAGCCAACCCCUAGUUCUAGUGUAUAAAAAGACACCAUAAAAGAUGGCAGUGAAUUCUACUGUAAUACUUAAAAUAGUUGCACACUGUCUAGAUAAUAAAAUGCUAUACUGGGAUUGCACAAUCACAAAACAUGUUAUUUUUAUAUCUGCAAAUAAAAAGAUAUACAGCAAGUAAGGCAUGAAUAAGUUUAUAAGUAAAAGCUGCAUUGAAUCAA